AGGACGAACGCUGGCGGCGUGCUUAACACAUGCAAGUCGAACGGAAAGCGCUCUUCGGAGUGACUCGAGUGGCGAGCGGGUGAGUAACACGUGGGUGAUCUGCCCUGCACUCUGGGAUAAGCCUGGGAAACUGGGUCUAAUACCGGAUAGGACUACGGGAUGCAUGUUCUGUGGUGGAAAGCUUUAUGCGGUGUGGGAUGGGCCCGCGGCCUAUCAGCUUGUUGGUGGGGUGAUGGCCUACCAAGGCUGCGACGGGUAGCCGGCCUGAGAGGGUGUCCGGCCACACUGGGACUGAGACACGGCCCAGACUCCUACGGGAGGCAGCAGUGGGGGAAUAUUGCGCAAUGGGCGAAAGCCUGACGCAGCGACGCCGCGUGGGGGAUGAAGGCCUUCGGGUUGUAAACCCCUUUCAGCAGGGACGAAGCGAAAGUGACGGUACCUGCAGAAGAAGCGCCGGCUAACUACGCGCCAGCAGCCGCGGU
This 482-nucleotide ribosomal RNA is filed under the name uncultured bacterium. Its description in RNAcentral is "SSU rRNA". It matches the Rfam family "Bacterial small subunit ribosomal RNA", at positions 26 to 521 of the family's 1533-position model. The record is from RNAcentral.